AGAGUUUGAUCCUGGCUCAGGACGAACGCUGGCGGCGUGCCUAAUACAUGCAAGUCGAGCGGAGUUGAUAGGGAGCUUGCUUCCUUGAGACUUAGCGGCGGACGGGUGAGUAACACGUAGGUAACCUGCCCAUAAGACCGGGAUAACAUUCGGAAACGGAUGCUAAUACCGGAUACGCGAUUCUCUCGCAUGAGAGAGUUGGGAAAGGCGGAGCAAUCUGUCACUUAUGGAUGGACCUGCGGCGCAUUAGCUAGUUGGUGAGGUAACGGCUCACCAAGGCGACGAUGCGUAGCCGACCUGAGAGGGUGAUCGGCCACACUGGGACUGAGACACGGCCCAGACUCCUACGGGAGGCAGCAGUAGGGAAUCUUCCGCAAUGGACGAAAGUCUGACGGAGCAACGCCGCGUGAGUGAUGAAGGUUUUCGGAUCGUAAAGCUCUGUUGCCAGGGAAGAACGCUAG
Molecule: ribosomal RNA, 461 nt
Filed under: Paenibacillaceae bacterium S-4-25-8
Lineage: Bacteria; Bacillati; Bacillota; Bacilli; Caryophanales; Paenibacillaceae
Description: bacterial SSU rRNA
Rfam family: Bacterial small subunit ribosomal RNA
Source: RNAcentral